UAUAGGCUACUAGCUUUUACAUUUUUAGCAAAUCUCUUCAGCAUUUUCAGCGACUCAACAGAUUUGUUGAUGUGAUAUGGGCUUCAGGGCCACCGUACAGCAGGCCUUUUGGAACAAUAAAAGUGUAUAAAAGAGAUUGUUUUUGCAAAGACAGACACACUUAUGUAUUUCCAAAAAAAAUGUAUUUAAUAAAAGCUUUUCAUGCAUUAAUUUCUACAUAUUCUAUUAGCUUCAUAUUCCUAAUCUGAAGACACACAGGGAUGUCAAAGGAUUCUGCAGCCUCGGGUGUGGUGAGAUCAGCUGGAAAAACUCUGCUCCUGUGAUCUUUUAGCGUGAACAAACCAGCAGAAGCAGAUUUCCUCCAUCACAGGGAUCCAGAGAGGAAAGGGUUAAAAUCAUCAACUUCCUCUGCUCUAACUGACGGAUGAUUGCGCCACGCUCUGAUGGCUUCCUGCUGAAUGACCCCGAUGAAGUCCAACCUGUCGUUGGCGCUCUGAGCUCCGUUGCUAUCCAGACGGAUUAUGAGUGCUAAUGAGGUCUGUUAUCUGAGCGGGACAGGUGACGGAAAGGUUUGUGAGGAGCGGAACUUAGCCACUGUGAACAUAGUUUUGACUGAACUGUUCACGGAGCGAGCUAAGCCCUUCACCUCCACCAAACCCACCGGGAGACCACCUCCCGUCCCCGCAGACGGACCAGCUCGCAGGGCAGAACCACAAAGAGGCGCUACAACAGGCAUUUCUGUGUUUGAUCAGAAAACUGUAGGUUCAGAAAAUGAGGAAACGCUGAAGCUGAACUUCCUCCUCUGAUCAUCAUGACGGCAGCAUCCCUGCCAGGAGACGCCCACCAUGAAGUGAGAGUAACUGAACUACAGUUAGAGGCUGACAGAUUAUCAGAUUAUGUUUAUAAUCUGCAAUGAUAAAUCCAUUUUCUUUGAA
This is a long non-coding RNA of Oryzias melastigma (Indian medaka), 935 nucleotides long. RefSeq lists it as uncharacterized. The transcript has 2 exons. Lineage: Eukaryota; Metazoa; Chordata; Actinopteri; Beloniformes; Adrianichthyidae. The record is from RefSeq and is a predicted model, not a curated record.